GACGAACGCUGGCGGCGUGCCUAACACAUGCAAGUCGUACGGUAAGGCCCUUCUGGGGGUACGCGCUUGGCGAGCGGGCGAGUGACACGCGCGUAACUUGCCCACACUUUUGGGAUAACUCUCGGCAACUGGUGGUAAUUAUUGCUAUAUGCUCGUGCUGCAUGGAGGGGGUUGGUAGGAACCGGCGGUUGGGGGUGGACUCGCGGCCUAUCAGCUUGUUUGUGGGGUAGUGGCCUACCAAGGCGGCGAUGGGUAGCCGGCCCGCGGGGGUGACCGGCCACAUUGGGGCUGGGGAACGGCCCAGAAUCCUAAGGGGGGCAAGAGGGGGGAAUAAUGCACAAUGGGGGCGAGCCUGAUGCAGCAACGCCCCGGGCGGGAAGACCGCCUUCGGGUUGUAAACCGCUUUUAGCAGGUACCGAGCCUUUUGUGACGGUACCUGCAGAAGAAGCACCGGCUAACUACGUG
RNAcentral lists this ribosomal RNA (465 nucleotides) under uncultured bacterium. Its description in RNAcentral is "partial 16S ribosomal RNA". It matches the Rfam family "Bacterial small subunit ribosomal RNA", at positions 28 to 507 of the family's 1533-position model. The record is from RNAcentral.